GAUGAACGCUGGCGGCGUGCUUAACACAUGCAAGUCGAACGGAAAGGCCCAAGCUUGCUUGGGUACUCGAGUGGCGAACGGGUGAGUAACACGUGGGUGAUCUGCCCUGCACUUCGGGAUAAGCCUGGGAAACUGGGUCUAAUACCGGAUAGGACCACAUUUUGGAUGGUGUGGUGGAAAGUUUUUCGGUGUGGGAUGAGCUCGCGGCCUAUCAGCUUGUUGGUGGGGUAAUGGCCUACCAAGGCGUCGACGGGUAGCCGGCCUGAGAGGGUGUACGGCCACAUUGGGACUGAGAUACGGCCCAGACUCCUACGGGAGGCAGCAGUGGGGAAUAUUGCACAAUGGGCGCAAGCCUGAUGCAGCGACGCCGCGUGGGGGAUGACGACCUUCGGGUUGUAAACUCCUUUCGCUAGGGACGAAGCGUUAUGUGACGGUACCUGGAGAAGAAGCACCGGCUAACUACGUG
Molecule: ribosomal RNA, 466 nt
Filed under: uncultured bacterium
Lineage: Bacteria
Description: partial 16S ribosomal RNA
Rfam family: Bacterial small subunit ribosomal RNA
Source: RNAcentral